RNAcentral lists this ribosomal RNA (319 nucleotides) under uncultured eukaryote. RNAcentral's name for it is "partial 18S ribosomal RNA". It matches the Rfam family "Eukaryotic small subunit ribosomal RNA", at positions 1470 to 1796 of the family's 1831-position model. The record is from RNAcentral.
CCCUUAGAUGUUCUGGGCAGCACGCGCGCUACAAUGGUCUUCGCAAACGGAUGCAUUCUCGAAGGAGAAUGCCAAUCUUGGAAUCUAUGCCUUGGUCGGGACAGUUGCUUGCAAUUUUUCGACUCGAACCAGGAAUUCCUUGUAAUCGUGAUUCAUCACAUCACGAUGAAUACGUCCCUGCCCUUUGUACACACCGCCCGUCGCUCCUACCGAUCGAAGAGUUAGGUGAAUUGUUUUGAUCGAUAAGAUUUGACUAUGGUCAACUCUCGUUGGGAAAUUCUGUGAAUCUGACUGUUUAGAGGAAGGAAAAGCCGUAACA